Molecule: ribosomal RNA, 458 nt
Filed under: uncultured bacterium
Lineage: Bacteria
Description: bacterial SSU rRNA
Rfam family: Bacterial small subunit ribosomal RNA
Source: RNAcentral
AUUGAACGCUGGCGGCAUGCCUUACACAUGCAAGUCGAACGGCAGCACGGGUGCUUGCACCUGGUGGCGAGUGGCGAACGGGUGAGUAAUACAUCGGAACGUACCUUAUCGUGGGGGAUAACGCAGCGAAAGCUGUGCUAAUACCGCAUACGCCCUGAGGGGGAAAGCGGGGGAUCGAAAGACCUCGCGCGAUUAGAGCGGCCGAUGCCUGAUUAGCUAGUUGGUAGGGUAACGGCCUACCAAGGCGACGAUCUGUAGCUGGUCUGAGAGGACGACCAGCCACACUGGGACUGAGACACGGCCCAGACUCCUACGGGAGGCAGCAGUGGGGAAUUUUGGACAAUGGGCGCAAGCCUGAUCCAGCAAUGCCGCGUGCAGGAAGAAGGCCUUCGGGUGUAACUGCUUUGUACGGACGAAAAGGUCUGGGUUAAUACCCUGGGCUCAUGACGGUACCGUAA